This 515-nucleotide ribosomal RNA is filed under the name uncultured bacterium. RNAcentral describes it as "bacterial SSU rRNA". It matches the Rfam family "Bacterial small subunit ribosomal RNA", at positions 15 to 518 of the family's 1533-position model. The record is from RNAcentral.
GAUCAUGGCUCAGAACGAACGCUGGCGGCGCGUUUAAGCAUGCAAGUCGAGCGGCAGGGGGGCCUCGGUCCCCCGAGAGCGGCGGACGGGUGAGUAACACGUGGACAACCUGCCCCCCGGUUCGGGAUAGCCCAGGGAAACCUGGAUCAAUACCGGAUGCGAGGGCGGCCGCACAAGCGGCCGUCGGGAAAGGCGCUUCGGCGCCGCCGGGGGAUGGGUCCGCGUCCCAUUAGCUAGACGGUGGGGUAACGGCCCACCGUGGCGAUGAUGGGUAGCCGGCCUGAGAGGGUGGACGGCCACAUUGGAACUGAGACACGGUCCAGACUCCUACGGGAGGCAACAGCUAAGAAUCUUCCGCAAUGGGCGAAAGCCUGACGGAGCGACGCCGCCGUGAACGAAGAAGGCCGUGAGGUUGUAAAGUUCUUUUCGGGAGGGGGAACAACCGUGGCAGGGAAUGGCCGCGGGAUGACGUGAAUCCCGGAAUAAGCCCCGGCUAACUACGUGCCAGCAGCUGC